ACUCCUACGGGAGGCAGCAGUGGGGAAUAUUGCACAAUGGGCGCAAGCCUGAUGCAGCCAUGCCGCGUGUGUGAAGAAGGCCUUCGGGUUGUAAAGCACUUUCAGUUGUGAGGAAGGUGGUGUCGUUAAUAGCGGCAUCAUUUGACGUUAGCAACAGAAGAAGCACCGGCUAACUCCGUGCCAGCAGCCGCGGUAAUACGGAGGGUGCGAGCGUUAAUCGGAAUUACUGGGCGUAAAGCGCAUGCAGGUGGUUUGUUAAGUCAGAUGUGAAAGCCCGGGGCUCAACCUCGGAACUGCAUUUGAAACUGGCAGACUAGAGUACUGUAGAGGGGGGUAGAAUUUCAGGUGUAGCGGUGAAAUGCGUAGAGAUCUGAAGGAAUACCGGUGGCGAAGGCGGCCCCCUGGACAGAUACUGACACUCAGAUGCGAAAGCGUGGGGAGCAAACAGGAUUAGAUACCCU
RNAcentral lists this ribosomal RNA (461 nucleotides) under uncultured bacterium. RNAcentral's name for it is "bacterial SSU rRNA". It matches the Rfam family "Bacterial small subunit ribosomal RNA", at positions 335 to 788 of the family's 1533-position model. The record is from RNAcentral.